Molecule: ribosomal RNA, 563 nt
Filed under: uncultured bacterium
Lineage: Bacteria
Description: bacterial SSU rRNA
Rfam family: Bacterial small subunit ribosomal RNA
Source: RNAcentral
CCUACGGGAGGCAGCAGUGGGGAAUCUUGCGCAAUGGGCGAAAGCCUGACGCAGCAACGCCGCGUGCGGGAAGAAGGCCUUCGGGUUGUAAACCGCUUUCAGCAGGAACGAAAAUGACGGUACCUGCAGAAGAAGGAGCGGCCAACUACGUGCCAGCAGCCGCGGUGACACGUAGGCUCCAAGCGUUGUCCGGAUUUAUUGGGCGUAAAGAGCUCGUAGGCGGUUCAGCAAGUCGGGUGUGAAAACUCUGGGCUCGAACCCAGAGCCUGCAUUCGAAACUGCUGUGACUAGAGUUUGGUAGGGGAGCGGGGAAUUCCUAGUGUAGCGGUGAAAUGCGCAGAUAUUAGGAGGAACACCGGUGGCGAAAGCGCCGCUCUGGGCCAAUACUGACGCUGAGGAGCGAAAGCGUGGGUAGCAAACAGGAUUAGAUACCCUGGUAGUCCACGCCGUAAACGAUGGGCACUAGGUGUGGGUUUCAACUAACGAAAUCCGUGCCGUCGCUAACGCAUUAAGUGCCCGCCUGGGGAGUACGGUCGCAGACUAAAACUCAAAGGAAUUGACGG